UACGUAGGGGGCAAGCGUUGUCCGGAAUGACUGGGCGUAAAGGGUGUGUAGGCGGCCGAUUAAGUCUGGAGUGAAAGUCCUGCUUUCAAGGUGGGAACUGCUUUGGAGACUGGUUGGCUUGAGUGCGGAAGAGGUAAGUGGAAUUCCCAGUGUAGCGGUGAAAUGCGUAGAGAUUGGGAGGAACACCAGUGGCGAAGGCGACUUACUGGGCCGUAACUGACGCUGAGGCGCGAAAGCGUGGGGAGCGAACAGGAUUAGAUACCCUGGUAGUCCACGCUGUAAACGAUGAGUGCUAGGUGUAGGAGGUAUCGACCCCUCCUGUGCCGGAGUAAACACAAUAAGCACUCCGCCUGGGGAGUACGGCCGCAAGGUUGAA
Molecule: ribosomal RNA, 376 nt
Filed under: uncultured bacterium
Lineage: Bacteria
Description: bacterial SSU rRNA
Rfam family: Bacterial small subunit ribosomal RNA
Source: RNAcentral